This 267-nucleotide ribosomal RNA is filed under the name uncultured bacterium. RNAcentral describes it as "partial 16S ribosomal RNA". It matches the Rfam family "Bacterial small subunit ribosomal RNA", at positions 334 to 598 of the family's 1533-position model. The record is from RNAcentral.
CAGUCCUACGGGACGCCGCAGUGAGGAAUAUUGGUCAAUGGUCGGGAGACUGAACCAGCCAAGCCGCGUGAGGGAUGAAGGUACAGAGUAUCGUAAACCUCUUUUGUCAGGGAACAAAGGCGGGGACGUGUCCCCGGCUGAGUGUACCUGAAGAAAAAGCAUCGGCUAACUCCGUGCCAGCAGCCGCGGUAAUACGGAGGAUGCGAGCGUUAUCCGGAUUUAUUUGGUUUAACGGUUGCGCAGGCGGUCGCUUAAGUCCGCGGUCAA